UACGUAGGGGGCAAGCGUUGUCCGGAAUCAUUGGGCGUAAAGAGCGUGUAGGCGGCCCGGUAAGUCCGCUGUAAAAGUCCAGGGCUCAACCCUGGAAAGCCGGUGGAAACUGUCGGGCUAGAGUCCGGAAGAGGCGAGUGGAAUUCCUGGUGUAGCGGUGAAAUGCGCAGAUAUCAGGAGGAACACCAAUGGCGAAGGCAGCUCGCUGGGCCUGACCUGACGCUGAGGAGCGAAAGCGUGGGGAGCGAACAGG
RNAcentral lists this ribosomal RNA (253 nucleotides) under uncultured bacterium. RNAcentral's name for it is "partial 16S ribosomal RNA". It matches the Rfam family "Bacterial small subunit ribosomal RNA", at positions 524 to 776 of the family's 1533-position model. The record is from RNAcentral.